UACGUAGGGUGCAAGCGUUGUCCGGAAUUAUUGGGCGUAAAGAGCUCGUAGGCGGUCUGUCGCGUCUGCUGUGAAAACUCAGGGCUUAACCCUGAGCUUGCAGUGGGUACGGGCAGACUAGAGUGCGGUAGGGGGAGACUGGAAUUCCUGGUGUAGCGGUGAAAUGCGCAGAUAUCAGGGAGGGAACACCGGUGGCGAAGGCGGGUCUCUGG
This 212-nucleotide ribosomal RNA is filed under the name uncultured bacterium. RNAcentral describes it as "partial 16S ribosomal RNA". It matches the Rfam family "Bacterial small subunit ribosomal RNA", at positions 524 to 732 of the family's 1533-position model. The record is from RNAcentral.